UAAGAUUGAGCUGUGAUGGGGAGAGGAACUUGUUCCUCGAGUCGUUGAUUUCACACUGCCGAGAAAAGCCUCUAGCUAGAAUAACGGUGCCCGUACCGCAAACCGACACAGGUAGUCAAGAUGAGAAUUCUAAGGUGAGCGAGCGAACUCUCGUUAAGGAACUCGGCAAAAUGACCCCGUAACUUCGGGAGAAGGGGUGCUCUUUGAGGUUCACGCUUCGAAGAGCCGCAGUGAAUAGGCCCAAGCGACUGUUUAUCAAAAACACAGGUCUCUGCUAAACCGUAAGGUGACGUAUAGGGGCUGACGCCUGCCCGGUGCUGGAAGGUUAAGAGGAGUGGUUAGCGCAAGCGAAGCUACGAAUCGAAGCCCCAGUAAACGGCGGCCGUAACUAUAACGGUCCUAAGGUAGCGAAAUUCCUUGUCGGGUAAGUUCCGACCCGCACGAAAGGCGUAACGAUUUGGGCACUGUCUCAACGAGAGACUCGGUGAAAUCAUAGUACCGGUGAAGAUGCCGGUUACCCGCGACAGGACGGAAAGACCCCGUGGAGCUUUACUGUAGCCUGAUAUUGAAAUUCGGUACAGUUUGUACAGGAUAGGUAGGAGCCUUAGAAGCGUGAGCGCUAGCUUACGUGGAGGCAUUGGUGGGAUACUACCCUAAUUGUAUUGGAUUUCUAACCCGCAGCACUUAUCGUGCUGGGAGACAGUGUCAGGCGGGCAGUUUGACUGGGGCGGUCGCCUCCUAAAGAGUAACGGAGGCGCUCAAAGGUUCCCUCAGAAUGGUUGGAAAUCAUUCAUAGAGUGUAAAGGCAUAAGGGAGCUUGACUGCGAGACCUACAAGUCGAGCAGGGUCGAAAGACGGACUUAGUGAUCCGGUGGUUCCGCAUGGAAGGGCCAUCGCUCAACGGAUAAAAGCUACCCCGGGGAUAACAGGCUUAUCUCCCCCAAGAGUUCACAUCGACGGGGAGGUUUGGCACCUCGAUGUCGGCUCAUCGCAUCCUGGGGCUGUAGUCGGUCCCAAGGGUUGGGCUGUUCGCCCAUUAAAGCGGUACGCGAGCUGGGUUCAGAACGUCGUGAGACAGUUCGGUCCCUAUCCGUCGUGGGCGUAGGAAAUUUGAGAGGAGCUGUCCUUAGUACGAGAGGACCGGGAUGGACAUACCUCUGGUGUACCAGUUGUCGUGCCAACGGCAUAGCUGGGUAGCUAUGUAUGGACGGGAUAAGUGCUGAAAGCAUCUAAGCAUGAAGCCCCCCUCGAGAUGAGAUUUCCCAACUUCGGUUAUAAGAUCCCUCAAAGAUGAUGAGGUGAAUAGGUUCGAGGUGGAAGCGUAGCGAUACGUGGAGCUGACGAAUACUA
Molecule: ribosomal RNA, 1350 nt
Filed under: Staphylococcus pseudintermedius
Lineage: Bacteria; Bacillati; Bacillota; Bacilli; Caryophanales; Staphylococcaceae
Description: partial 23S ribosomal RNA
Rfam family: Bacterial large subunit ribosomal RNA
Source: RNAcentral